GACGAACGCUGGCGGCGUGCCUAAUACAUGCAAGUUGAGCGCUGAAGGUUGGUACUUGUACCAACUGGAUGAGCAGCGAACGGGUGAGUAACGCGUGGGGAAUCUGCCUUUGAGCGGGGGACAACAUUUGGAAACGAAUGCUAAUACCGCAUAAAAACUUUAAACACAAGUUUUAAGUUUGAAAGAUGCAAUUGCAUCACUCAAAGAUGAUCCCGCGUUGUAUUAGCUAGUUGGUGAGGUAAAGGCUCACCAAGGCGAUGAUACAUAGCCGACCUGAGAGGGUGAUCGGCCACAUUGGGACUGAGACACGGCCCAAACUCCUACGGGAGGCAGCAGUAGGGAAUCUUCGGCAAUGGACGAAAGUCUGACCGAGCAAUGCCGCGUGAGUGAAGAAGGUUUUCGGAUCGUAAAACUCUGUUGGUAGAGAAGAACGUUGGUGAGAGUGGAAAGCUCAUAAAGUGACGGUAACUACCCAGAAGGGGACGGCUAACUACGU
Molecule: ribosomal RNA, 496 nt
Filed under: uncultured bacterium
Lineage: Bacteria
Description: partial 16S ribosomal RNA
Rfam family: Bacterial small subunit ribosomal RNA
Source: RNAcentral